RNAcentral lists this ribosomal RNA (502 nucleotides) under uncultured bacterium. RNAcentral describes it as "partial 16S ribosomal RNA". It matches the Rfam family "Bacterial small subunit ribosomal RNA", at positions 899 to 1397 of the family's 1533-position model. The record is from RNAcentral.
ACUCAAAGGAAUUGACGGGGGCCCGCACAAGCGGUGGAGCAUGUUGUUUAAUACGUCACUAACCGUAGAACCUUACCAGGGUUUGACAUCUGGCGCACCGGGGUGAAAGCCUCGUUCCGAGCAAUCGGACGCCAAGACAGGUGUUGCAUGGCUGUCGUCAGCUCGUGUCGUGAGAUGUUGGGUUAAGUCCCGCAACGAGCGCAACCCUCAUCCCAUGUUGCCAACGGGUCGUGCCGGGAACUCUUGGGAAACUGCCUGUGUAAGCAGGAGGAAGGUGAGGAUGACGUCAAGUCAGCAUGGCCCUUACAUCCUGGGCUACAAACAUGCUACAAUGGACGGUAGACAGAGGGAUCCGAGGCGGCGACGCGGAGGUAAUCUCAAAAAUCCGUUCUCAGUUCGGAUCGCAGGCUGCAACUCGCCUGCGUGAAGUCGGAAUCGCUAGUAACCGCAGGUCAGCCAAACUGCGGUGAAUACGUUCCCGGGCCUUGCACACACCGCCCGU